RNAcentral lists this ribosomal RNA (250 nucleotides) under uncultured bacterium. RNAcentral describes it as "partial 16S ribosomal RNA". It matches the Rfam family "Bacterial small subunit ribosomal RNA", at positions 524 to 773 of the family's 1533-position model. The record is from RNAcentral.
GACAGAGGCCUCAAGCGUUAAUCGGAAUCACUGGGCUUAAAGGGUGCGUAGGCGGCUCCGAAAGUGUCCUGUGAAAUCCCACGGCUCAACCGUGGAAUUGCGGGGCAAACUACGGAGCUUGAGGAAGGUAGAGGCGGGUGGAACGAUAGGUGGAGCGGUGGAAUGCGUAGAGAUCUAUCGGAACGCCGAAGGUGAAGACAGCCCGCUGGGCCUUUCCUGACGCUGAGGCACGAAAGCGUGGGGAGCAAAC